Molecule: long non-coding RNA, 1262 nt
Organism: Mytilus californianus (California mussel)
Lineage: Eukaryota; Metazoa; Mollusca; Bivalvia; Mytilida; Mytilidae
Exons: 2
Source: RefSeq, a predicted model, not a curated record
ACAAUACCCGAUCGUUCGAUUUGCAUUUUGGUUUCAACUUUUAUCAAAAUGAUUUAUAGUACAACUCAUCGCCGUAUUAGAAUAUCAAAAAUAAAACACCGCGUGCCCGAACGACGCAUGGCUCAAACGAGUGCGCAUCGGCGUUCGGUCACAAGUGGUCUUAUUUUUUUUAUAUUCAAUCACGGCGAUUGGAAAAUCGCUAAACUUUAAGAUUAAGAUCGAGAGAGAGAGCAAGAUUUUGGACCAUUGAAUUCGAAAAUCCAAAAGUAUUGUCAUCGAUCUAUACAGACGCAUCCAUUAAAUGUUCACUAGACAUUGAUUACUCUGUCAGAUAUCAUUUUUUAUAUUUGUGAAUGGUGUCUUGCAUAUGAAUAAAAGACGAUCUGGUUCAAUGACACAUCACCCCAACGACAAAACAUACAUUUAUGUUUGCUAUAGGGCUUCAUACGUCUGUGCACAAACUGCCAAAAUAGCACCAUUUUGAAAUCUUAACAUUACUAUUUAGAUAUGAGCCAUGAACUUAACCGAUAAGACAUUUUGCUACAAGGUAACUGUCACAGGGUGAAUUUGUUUACUCACAUAUAUGUUGUUAUUUUGGUUGUUAAUUCUAUUUCGAUUUGCAGAACGUCAGUAUCUUAUAAAUGCUAUAUUCUGCAGACUUCGGUGUAUAAUACAUGUCCACAUUUUACAUCUAAUUAAUUAAGUAGUGUCCACUAUUUACUUGGGCAUUUACCGGUAAACUUGUCGAACGGGUUGAGUAACAGUGAUACCUGUAUUUGAUGAGCUGACUAUUCACUCUCAGGUAACACCUUAACGAGUCAAUGUGUGGUCAGAAAUGUUUGUAUAAAGUUAGUUUACAAUGUGGCGUGGACACACACACUGGAUUUCUGAGGUCCCAGUUUGCGGGCUAGGUGUAUGUAGUUUUGUAUUGUAAAGUAUGGAGAUAUAGUACAGAUGGUGGUGAAACCUGUUGACAGUGCGGCGUUCCGUGUUUAUCAUCAAUAGUUUGGCAACAUAGAAUAUUUGGAGUCGAGUCUAGACAAUAGGGCAGCCGUAAUGUGUACAUCGCUUAUGUUGGGCCAGUUUUGUGUAGUUACCGAAAACCAAAUACGUAAAAUUCCGUAGUAUCGUUUAUCCAGAUUUCAUAGUUUAAUAUAAAGAAGAAGGAACAGUUCAUUAAACAUUUGACAGUAUUAUUUCAUUUGAUUUCAUCUAUUUAUAUUUGUAAAUUUGUACCUAAUUAAAUUGUUAUUUUGUUUAAA